GAGGUGUUAACUCUGGAGUAAGCAGGCUUUUUGUACCUGCUCUUCCACUCUUUCUAUCCUUGCUAGCCGUUCCUGAAGCUUUCUCGUCUAGACCACUGGUGAAUGGGUGCAAAACAGAUGAAAAUGCCCGUUUCAAGACCGUAAAAAAGGGCCUUGAGCUCCCCUGAGGUGGGUCAUAGGGUUUCUUAACAGUCUUUGAUGAAGUGCGAGUAUUUUUUGAAACAGGAGGCAUCAAUACAAACUCAUCGACAACUACUAGAAGACGUUGGUUAAUGAGAAGUAGCGAGUUUAGUUACGUGGCAAUUAUUUUUCAUGCUAAUGACUUAUUGAUUGUCUGGUAGCGCUAUUUGUUAUAUGCCAAUAUCGUAGUCGUAGGAACUGUACGACUAUUGUAACACGUUUCGUAAAAAUGUUUAAUACGAGAAGAAAGGGAGUUAUUUGAAGGUGUUAAGCAAGAUGGAAUAUGUUAAUACAAUUUGUUUUCGGUUUAAAAAAAUGGGAUAUCAAAUUCUAUUUAAUCUCGUUACCAGUAAAGUGGUGAUUGCAACAGUAGUCCACGAGCCUUAGCUUCGUCAAUAUUCGCUUUAUCAAGUUUUAGGCUGUCUAAUAUUCUAGCAACUUACUUGCAAUACUUAAAUUCUUCCGUUUAAAUCAGCUUACAUUGUAUGAAGAAAUGAUUAGUUCUAUUUUCAUAGAAAAACACUUAGGCACGUACUGUCUAAUCGUACGUAAUUGGAAUUUCGCUUUACUAUCAUCUAUAGUAGUGUUG
This is a non-coding RNA of Schizosaccharomyces pombe (fission yeast), 769 nucleotides long. NCBI's taxonomy places the organism in Eukaryota, Fungi, Ascomycota, Schizosaccharomycetes, Schizosaccharomycetales, Schizosaccharomycetaceae. The record is from the annotation of a GenBank genome assembly.